AUUGAACGCUGGCGGCAGGCUUAACACAUGCAAGUCGAGCGGAGAUGAGGUGCUUGCACCUUAUCUUAGCGGCGGACGGGUGAGUAAUGCUUAGGAAUCUGCCUAUUAGUGGGGGACAACAUUCCGAAAGGAAUGCUAAUACCGCAUACGUCCUACGGGAGAAAGCAGGGGAUCUUCGGACCUUGCGCUAAUAGAUGAGCCUAAGUCGGAUUAGCUAGUUGGUGGGGUAAAGGCCUACCAAGGCGACGAUCUGUAGCGGGUCUGAGAGGAUGAUCCGCCACACUGGGACUGAGACACGGCCCAGACUCCUACGGGAGGCAGCAGUGGGGAAUAUUGGACAAUGGGGGAAACCCUGAUCCAGCCAUGCCGCGUGUGUGAAGAAGGCCUUAUGGUUGUAAAGCACUUUAAGCGAGGAGGAGGCUACUGAGACUAAUACUCUUGGAUAGUGGACGUUACCCGCAGAAUAAGCACCGGCUAACUCUGUGCCAGCCGCCGCAGUAA
RNAcentral lists this ribosomal RNA (501 nucleotides) under uncultured bacterium. Its description in RNAcentral is "partial 16S ribosomal RNA". It matches the Rfam family "Bacterial small subunit ribosomal RNA", at positions 30 to 523 of the family's 1533-position model. The record is from RNAcentral.